AGUGAACGCUGGCGGUAGGCCUAACACAUGCCAGUCGAACGGCAGCACAGUAAGAGCUUGCUCUUACGGGUGGCGAGUGGCGGACGGGUGAGGAAUACAUCGGAAUCUACUUUUUCGUGGGGGAUAACGUAGGGAAACUUACGCUAAUACCGCAUACGACCUACGGGUGAAAGCAGGGGAUCUUCGGACCUUGCGCGAUUGAAUGGGCCGAUGUCGGAUUAGCUAGUUGGCGGGGUAAAGGCCCACCAAGGCGACGAUCCGUAGCUGGUCUGAGAGGAUGGUCAGCCACACUGGAACUGAGACACGGUCCAGACUCCUACGGGAGGCAGCAGUGGGGAAUAUUGGACAAUGGGCGCAAGCCUGAUCCAGCCAUACCGCGUGGGUGAAGAAGGCCUUCGGGUUGUAAAGCCCUUUUGUUGGGAAAGAAAAGCAGCAGGUUAAUACCCCGCUGUUCUGACGGUACCCAAAGAAUAAGCACCGGCUAACUUCGUG
Molecule: ribosomal RNA, 492 nt
Filed under: uncultured bacterium
Lineage: Bacteria
Description: partial 16S ribosomal RNA
Rfam family: Bacterial small subunit ribosomal RNA
Source: RNAcentral